This 80-nucleotide non-coding RNA is filed under the name unclassified sequences. The record is from Rfam.
UAACAACGAGGUCAGAAAGGCCCCUGACGCACCUCUUAGAGGUAACUGAGAUGUUGGAUACGCCGCCCAACCGUUUGUUA